UAUGUCUACAUUUGUUGGGAUAAAUUUGUUAUUUUAAUGUAAUAAUAGCAUGACCAAAACAAACAGUAUUCAAUUUAUAAUGAAUUAACUAAGAAUACAUGAAUGGUUUUAUAAUGGUAUUUUGCAUAUUGUUUUUAGCACUGUACUCAUUCAAAUGCAUUGCAUUAUUGGUAUAUUCACAGAAGAGGAACAAACUGGGAAUGUGGGGUAUGGGAAUCCAGACUUGGAGAAUGGCUUUAACAAUAAUCAGGAGUUGGGCAAUCAGGGGGGUCAGGAGAAGGGACAGUCAUUGCUCAGUGUACUUGCAGAAGCUUUGAGGGUCAGCCAUGUUGGCCCUCAAGAGAGACUUGAAGCUAAUUUGGAGGGGCCACCAGAAGAGAUUAUGUGCCAUGAGGCUCAAAAGAAGGACGAUACACACCCAGACCAGAAGUCUUGCUCCAGAGGUACUUUCAUCUUAUUGAAGCGUCUGUGGACAAACACUUUCCCAAACUGCCAGCAGGGAACACUGUGAAUCAGCUGGAGGGCUACCUGAUAAAAGUGCAAAUAACUGUGCAAGGGGAGCUUCUGAGGUUGGCACCCCUGCUCAAAGAGGCUCAGUUGCGGAAGCAUUUGAUUGCUUGCUAUCAUCAGCGUAUGUUUGACUGUCUACAGCAGAUCCUUCAGCAUGUCAACACAAAAAAGAGGCCUUCACAGUUCUUGACUGAGUACUACAAUAAUAAUAAAUACACUAUAAUAAAGUGUAUCACUGUAAAUCUAUGCGAAGCCCUUUCUCUCCCGGUGACUCUUCCUGCUCCACAUAGUGCAUCAAUGCUGUUCUCCAGAAAGCAAAGAUGAUGAGCCAAACUCUGAUGCGCAAGGUCCAAAUAGUCUGUUGGCAAGAACUACAGGACUUUGUGGAAAGGUAUGUCAAUGUUGAAAAGAAGCACCUUCAGAAACAAGCAGGAAUGGGAACGUCAGGCACAAUGCACUUCUUUAAGACGUUCAACACCUGCAUUGAACUAAAGUUGUAUAUUUCAAGGAUUGCCAAAGAUGACACAAGCUUAGACUGUGUUAAAACCAUAUCAACACUUAAGGGGUUGGAAGCUCUUUCUUGGAAACUUCUCCUGGAAAAACCAAUUCAACUUGCACAGAUGUCCUUAAAGAAGUAUUUCAAAAGAGAGGAAGAACAAAUGGAAAAUCUAAUGAAAGAGAUUAUACAUUUAUUUUCCAAGACCUUCCCAAAGACAAGGAUACGCAAAAGACUGUGAUUAACAAAGCCUAUCAGUGCAUCACCCUUCUGUACCUCCAACACCUGGUGCAGAGUAACCAUGGGAAGCUGGUGAAGAGAUGGGAUUAUGUGAACAAAAGAGUGAUGCAUGAUGCCGAGCUCCUUCACUCCAUCUUCUCAGUCCUGAAUCCUGAUGUUAAACAGUGGAACAUCAUACUGACUAAAGUGAGAGAAGUGCUGGAGUGCAGCGACAUUGAAAGUCUCAAGAUAAGUCAGUGAGAUACUGAGGGACAACACCAAUACAAG
Long non-coding RNA from Oncorhynchus gorbuscha (pink salmon), 1513 nucleotides. RefSeq lists it as uncharacterized. The transcript is spliced from 6 exons. Lineage: Eukaryota; Metazoa; Chordata; Actinopteri; Salmoniformes; Salmonidae. The record is from RefSeq and is a predicted model, not a curated record.